This 487-nucleotide ribosomal RNA is filed under the name uncultured bacterium. Its description in RNAcentral is "partial 16S ribosomal RNA". It matches the Rfam family "Bacterial small subunit ribosomal RNA", at positions 30 to 504 of the family's 1533-position model. The record is from RNAcentral.
AUUGAACGCUGGCGGCAUGCUUUACACAUGCAAGUCGGACGGCAGCACAGAGGAGCUUGCUUCUUGGGUGGCGAGUGGCGAACGGGUGAGUAACGCAUCGGAACGUACCGAGUAAUGGGGGAUAACUGUCCGAAAGGACAGCUAAUACCGCAUACGCCCUGAGGGGGAAAGCGGGGGAUCUUAGGACCUCGCGUUAUUCGAGCGGCCGAUGUCUGAUUAGCUGGUUGGCGGGGUAAAGGCCCACCAAGGCGACGCUCAGUAGCGGGUCUGAGAGGAUGAUCCGCCACACUGGGACUGAGACACGGCCCAGACUCCUACGGGAGGCAGCAGUGGGGAAUUUUGGACAAUGGGCGCAAGCCUGAUCCAGCCAUGCCGCGUGUCUGAAGAAGGCCUGCGGGUUGUAAAGGACUUUUGUCAGGGAAGAAAAGGGGCAUGUUAAUACCGUGCUCUGAUGACGGUACCUGAAGAAUAAGCACCGGCUAACUAC